RNAcentral lists this small nucleolar RNA (89 nucleotides) under Chlamydomonas reinhardtii. RNAcentral's name for it is "CrCD71 snoRNA". The record is from RNAcentral. Lineage: Eukaryota; Viridiplantae; Chlorophyta; Chlorophyceae; Chlamydomonadales; Chlamydomonadaceae.
CGUGUGGGCGUGGUGAUGUUGCAGAGCGGUGUGGGCUCUCUAUCUCCCUGACUCUUUGGCCCCUUCUGACACCUCUGCUGAUCCCCGCG